GAUAGGAAAACCCAACAUCCGGCUAAGCAUUAGACAGGAGGGUACGAGUAAACAUGCUUCAAGAUGAUUAUACUCUUAAAAUUUAUAAGCAAAAUAUAAUUUUCAUGGAUGUGUAGUCAUGUUUGCUACACUAUCUUCUGCAAAAUGUCUGUUCUUGGCCUACCGCCUCUGAUAUAGGCGCAGCCAGUUUAAACAAUUGUUCAGCUGUAAAAACUCCAACAGCCCUAGAACUUGCGCCGUAUGUAGUACCAUGUAAGUUGCUGUAUUUUAUAACUAUUACCAUUCUAUGUUUCUUUUCCAAAAUUAGAUCAACCACAUGGCCAAUAGAUGUUGUGGUUGUAACACAAGGAGGUGGGCUUCUCAUCAUUGUCGUAAGUGUGGCAUUCAACUCAAAGCAGUCUUCACGAUGCAAUAGUCCAACGCAACAACCCCAUUCGUCCACAAUUGGCACAACUUGAUCCCUAAAGAAGCGCAUGACCACUUUCUUCAAUUCCAAGGUACCAAGUAGUGGUUGAGCUUCUUUUAAUGGUGUCAUGAUACUCUCAAUUGGUUCACUUGGUGAUACCUGAACAAAAAGCUGAGGAAGCAAGGAAGGAUUGAACAAGGAUUUCAUGAAUCCCAACAAGGCCUCUAUUCGCAAAGCAACCUGCAUUACAAAGGUAAGUAAUUGCUGGAACACAUUUAAGAAAUAUAUAGUUAAACAGUCAAUGAUUAAAUUAGUUAAUUUUAUAUGAUAACAAAUCAAUUAUAAAUGAAAUUUUUUGAGAAUGAUAUUGAUCCAAGAUAUGCUCAAUCAAUCCAAAGAAUUAUUGAUACCCACUGAAGAACCUGAAUAGCACUAACACAAUUGCUCACCACUUGCAAAGAACUUUUCAUAAGAUUCUAAAACUAGAAUAAUAUACUGAAUAUGCUUAAAUAGAUCUUCAAUAUAAAUGUAUUAGUUUAGGUGUUUUGCCAAUUUUCCUUUUAUUUUAACCAUGAAAAUUGAAUGGCAUUACUUACCAUGCCUCCUCGACUGGUCCAUGAUAUGCCUUUCCAUUUUUUUAUAAUACUCCUAAGAUUUUCUACAGCUGCAUCAACCUGACCAUCAUUUAAAGCGGCCUCCAUGAGAAGAUGAUCAGCUUCCUCUUGAAUUGCUGGACUAAUAGUUCCUGUUGAAUCUGGCCGUAAGCGCUUGUGCAGAUUUUUAACCAUAUGAUAAUCUCCUUGAAUGCCAAAAGCACGCAUCAGUGACAAAUAGAGGUGAGGCUUUGGACGAAAGUCCCUAUUCAGACCAGCUCGCUUUAUGAUUUCUCCAAAUAUACAAAGAGCACCUUUCAUUGAACCACAGCUUAGCAAUGCAUCAACUGUUGCAGCGAAUGCAGUUCGAUCCAUAAAUAAAUCAUGACACAAUUUCAUUUCCAACACAAUUGUCUGAACUGAAAGGAGAUCCUUCACAUUCCCAAAACCCUUAAGUAACGUAGUGUAGGUGACAACAUCUGGAUAAAGAUUGCCAUUGUUUGAUUUUUGUGCUUUGUCCUUCAUUUCCUGAAAGAAAUGCAUUGCAGCAUCCACAUUUUCAUUCUUGGCACAUGCUAAAAUUAGAGUAUUAUAGGUGAGCCUAUCAGGGGUUAACCCAAUACGUAAUAUCUCAUCUUGCACAGUCAAGGCAGCUUGAGGACACCCAGCAUUUAUAUAUCCCUUCAUUAGUAAGUUGUAUAUCAAGACCGGAGGAUUGCCUCCUUCAAGAAGCAAAAAACCAUAACGCGCAAGAAGACCAUUAGCACGGCGUAAAUCUCCUGAUUCAAUUAUAGCAUUUAAUAGACCGAUGAUGAGUGGCGCCGACAAUUUUGCAUUUCCCCUACCAGAACCUUGUUCCAGGGACUCAAGUAUCUGAAAUGCUUCGUCGAUUCUUCGAGCCUCUCCCAAACCCUUCAAUAGUGUACCAUAUGUGACCCCGUCAACGCCACAACUACCCGGCUUCGACAUCUCAUCGAAGACCCGAAGAGCUGAAUUAAUAUCGCAGCAAUGCACACAAGCCUCCAUCACCGCAUUCAUAACGAUCGUGUUGAGCUUGACAUAGCGUCUCUUGGCAGCUUCAAUUUCUUCAAAAAUCUGUUGGAGUUGUCUUCGACGAGUGAGUUGAACGAUGCGGGAGGUAAGUUGCUUGAGAUUGAAGUGUUUGCGAGGAGUAAUCUUAAUCAGACGACGCCGUGUUGCACCAGAGUAAGAAGAAGAGAAGAAGAUAUUGAGAAAGGGUAACGGUUUUGAUGUCAAGGGCGAUAGAGGUUGAGUUUGAUGCAUUGCUGGUGAUGGAGGAGGACCUCCGCCACGCAAGUGAAGCAGCGGAUAAUGUUUGGACGCAAAAGAGAAGGUUAGAUGCGUCAGAUCCAGACUGGGACUCGGAUGCCCGCCCUAUCCCAUUUGAGCUACGGGCCUCACCCUCAGUGGUCAGCGGCACUGCAGAAAAGAGAUCAUAUUUCGAUACAGCCCCCUUAAUUAAGGGUUAUC
Molecule: unclassified non-coding RNA, 2490 nt
Filed under: Hevea brasiliensis (rubber tree)
Lineage: Eukaryota; Viridiplantae; Streptophyta; Magnoliopsida; Malpighiales; Euphorbiaceae
Source: RNAcentral